This 253-nucleotide ribosomal RNA is filed under the name uncultured bacterium. RNAcentral's name for it is "partial 16S ribosomal RNA". It matches the Rfam family "Bacterial small subunit ribosomal RNA", at positions 524 to 776 of the family's 1533-position model. The record is from RNAcentral.
UACGAAGGGGGCUAGCGUUGCUCGGAAUCACUGGGCGUAAAGCGCACGUAGGCGGCCUUCUAAGUCAGGGGUGAAAUCCUGGAGCUCAACUCCAGAACUGCCUUUGAUACUGGAGAGCUAGAGUCCGGAAGAGGUGAGUGGAACUGCGAGUGUAGAGGUGAAAUUCGUAGAUAUUCGCAAGAACACCAGUGGCGAAGGCGGCUCACUGGUCCGGUACUGACGCUGAGGUGCGAAAGCGUGGGGAGCAAACAGG